This 800-nucleotide ribosomal RNA is filed under the name uncultured Bacteroidota bacterium. RNAcentral's name for it is "bacterial SSU rRNA". It matches the Rfam family "Bacterial small subunit ribosomal RNA", at positions 74 to 877 of the family's 1533-position model. The record is from RNAcentral. Lineage: Bacteria; Pseudomonadati; Bacteroidota.
UAGUUUUCGGAUUACAGAGACCGGCGCACGGGUGCGUAACGCGUAUGCAACUUGCCUUUAUCACCGGGAUAGCCCAGCGAAAGUUGGAUUAAUACCAGAUAACAUUAUGUAUUGCAUAAUAUGUAAUUGAAAGAUUUAUCGGAUAGAGAUGGGCAUGCGUAGGAUUAGUUAGUUGGUGAGGUAACGGCUCACCAAGGCAGCGAUCCUUAGGGGGCCUGAGAGGGUGAACCCCCACACUGGUACUGAGACACGGACCAGACUCCUACGGGAGGCAGCAGUGAGGAAUAUUGGACAAUGGGUGAGAGCCUGAUCCAGCCAUCCCGCGUGAAGGAAGAAUGUCCUAUGGAUUGUAAACUUCUUUUGUAUAGGAAUAAACCUAAGUACGUGUACUUAGCUGAAGGUACUAUACGAAUAAGCAUCGGCUAACUCCGUGCCAGCAGCCGCGGUAAUACGGAGGAUGCGAGCGUUAUCCGGAUUUAUUGGGUUUAAAGGGUCCGUAGGCGGAUUUGUAAGUCAGUGGUGAAAUCCUGCAGCUUAACUGUAGAACUGCCAUUGAUACUGCAGGUCUUGAAUAGCAAUGAAGUAGCUGGAAUGUGUAGUGUAGCGGUGAAAUGCAUAGAUAUUACACAGAACACCAAUUGUGAAGACAAGUUACUAAUUGCCAAUUGACGCUGAUGGACGAAAGCGUGGGGAGCGAACAGGAUUAGAUACCCUGGUAGUCCACGCCGUAAACGAUGGAUACUCGUUGUUGGAGCGCAAGCUUCAGUGACUAAGCAAAAGUGAUAAGUAUCCCACCUGGG